This 799-nucleotide ribosomal RNA is filed under the name uncultured bacterium. Its description in RNAcentral is "bacterial SSU rRNA". It matches the Rfam family "Bacterial small subunit ribosomal RNA", at positions 25 to 872 of the family's 1533-position model. The record is from RNAcentral.
CAGGAUGAACGCUAGCGGCGCACCUAAAACAUGCAAGUCGUACACUCGCAAGAGUGUGGCGAACGGGUGAGUAACGCGUAGGAAUCUGCCUCAAUCCGGGAAAUACCCCACCGAAAGGUGGGCUAAUGUCCCAUGUGCUCGCAAGAGUAAAGCUCCGGCGGAUUGAGAGGAGCCUGCGUCCUAUCAGCUUGUUGGUGGGGUAAUUGCCCACCAAGGCUAUGACGGGUAGGAGGUCUGAGAGGAUGAUCUCCCACAAUGGCACUGAGACACGGGCCAUACACCUACGGGUGGCAGCAGUUAGGAAUCGUACACAAUGGACGAAAGUCUGAUGUCGUGACGUCGCGUGAAGGAUGAAGGUCUUCGGAUUGUAAACUUCUUUUCUGCAGGAGGAUUAUGACAGUACUGCAGGAAUAAGCACCGGCUAACUACGUGCCAGAAGCCUCGGUAAUACGUAGGGUGCGAGCGUUAUCCGGAAUUAUUGGGCGUAAAGGGCGCGUAGGCGGUCCAUCAAGUCCAAUCUUAAAGCCCGUGGCCUAACCACGGAGAUGGAUUGGAAACUGUUGGACUUGUAGUAAUUGCAGGGGUAAGCGGAAUCUACGGUGUAGGGGUAAAAUCCAUUGAUAUCGUAGAGAACACCAAUGGCGAAGGCAGCUUACUAGGAAUUCACUGACGCUGAGGCGCGAAAGCGUGGGUAGCGAACGGGAUUAGAUACCCCGGUAGUCCACGCCGUAAACGAUGCAAACUAGGUAUUGGGAUUUCGACCGUCUUGGUACCGAAGNUAACGCGUUAAGUUUGCCGG